Sardina pilchardus (European sardine) is the source of this 811-nucleotide long non-coding RNA. RefSeq lists it as uncharacterized. NCBI's taxonomy places the organism in Eukaryota, Metazoa, Chordata, Actinopteri, Clupeiformes, Clupeidae. The transcript is spliced from 5 exons. The record is from RefSeq and is a predicted model, not a curated record.
UGGUCUUCCCAGCAUGCUCUGCGUCGAUUGUUCUUUAAGGUUCAUUGCACGCAUACGCACUUCGCACGUGGGGACAGCCAAGCAAGAGUCAGCUAAACUGCAGAACUAGAAUGACGGUGCAAGAUCGGGGUGGCGAAAUGGUUGCCUACGAUGACCCUGUAUGACUUGGUUUCUAGGGAGGAUCCCGACCCGAAAGGUUACUUGUUGAGCGUUGUAUCAAGUGAGACUUGGUAAUGGGGUGAUGCCACAGCAUGUCUGUGCCAUGGUGCACUACUGAGCUGUUUGAUUACAGCACAGCAUCUGAUAAACAUGAAAACCAAUGCAAGUUCACUCAACUCCAGUAAAGUUUGGUGUCAACAUCAGUCAGCCGUGUACACCUAAAUGACCUCUACAAGACCCAGCAAUCCAUCAAGAUCAUAGCAAGACCUAAACCGGAGUUCGGUCAGUGGUGGUGGAUGCUUCCAAUCUUCCAUUCGACACCUCCAUUUUGUCCACAUGGGGAAGCUGUCAGGAGCAUUGGUGAAGGGAUAUGUGUAUUGAGGUGUGGAUGAAAUGGAUGUAACAGAGGAACCAAAAUGCACCAUUUGGAAGAAGUCUCAUGAACAUUGUGUGUUUGAAGGUCUAGAGGCUUACAACAGAGGUGUGCAAAGGCAAUUUCAUGGCCUGUGUUGCCUGUCCUUUGGUACAGUGAAUGGGGCUGAUGUUUCUGUUUAUUUGGGUGUUAAUAUAUAUGAAGUUAUUUUUGUUGUAUGUAUGUGUGAGAGGGGGUGUAUGUACUGCAUUUGUACAAAAUAAAGUUUUCCUUAUCUAA